UAAUCCGCCAGACCGAUAGCAACCAGUCCCGGAGGAAAGGUGCAAGCACUUGAGAGAGAGUCAGAGUACGUGAAACCGUUGAGAUGGAAACGGAGAGAGUUGACGAAAGCUAGUGUCAUUCAACUGUGUCGCACAAUCGCACUGGGGCAUGGCUACCUCUCUGAGGAGCUUGUUCUGGUGGUCAGAUGUGUGACGCUUGCAUUUGGUGCUGGUGUGCGCUGAGGGCUUUGACUGGGCGCUUUGAAGCGCUGCGUGUUGCCCACUUCGGUGGUGUCUUGCGCGUGACUAAAAGUGCUCGGCUAGAGUUAGCUGCAAAUGCCGGCUCGCUAGGCGUCUGUUGUUGCGUCGCUUUGUGUGCCUCGGUGGCGGUCGUCGAAAGGCGAUAGGCUGUCGAGGUGUGUUUGGUGGCUUAGCACGGACGUGGCUUGGCUUGUUCCUCGGUGUGACCGUCGAUCACCUCUCCGACCCGUCUUGAAACACGGACCAAGAAGUCUAGCAUAUACGCGAGUCAUUGGGUGGAAAACCUAUAGGCGCAAUGAAAGUAAAGGCGGCUUGACCCGCUGAUAUGAGAUCCGUUUGUGAAAACUGGCGGCGCAUCAUAUCCCCGUCCCGUAGGGCUUG
This 621-nucleotide ribosomal RNA is filed under the name Poikilolaimus ernstmayri. RNAcentral's name for it is "eukaryotic LSU rRNA". It matches the Rfam family "Eukaryotic large subunit ribosomal RNA", at positions 318 to 782 of the family's 3401-position model. Lineage: Eukaryota; Metazoa; Nematoda; Chromadorea; Rhabditida; Rhabditidae. The record is from RNAcentral.